Molecule: ribosomal RNA, 861 nt
Filed under: uncultured Actinomycetes bacterium
Lineage: Bacteria; Bacillati; Actinomycetota; Actinomycetes
Description: bacterial SSU rRNA
Rfam family: Bacterial small subunit ribosomal RNA
Source: RNAcentral
CAAGUCGAGCGAGAACCGGAGCUUCGGCUCCGGAGAAAGCGGCGAACGGGUGAGUAACACGUGGGCAACCUGCCCUCGGCACCGGGAUAGCCCGGGGAAACCCGGAUUAAUACCGGACAGCCUCCGGAGCCUUCGGGCGGCGGAGAAAAGGUGGCUUCGGCUUCCGGCUGAGGAGGGGCCUGCGGCGGAUUAGCUUGUUGGUGGGGUAACGGCUCACCAAGGCGACGAUCCGUAGCUGGUCUGAGAGGACGAUCAGCCACACUGGGACUGAGACACGGCCCAGACUCCUACGGGAGGCAGCAGUGGGGAAUCUUGCGCAAUGGGCGAAAGCCUGACGCAGCGACGCCGCGUGCGGGAAGAAGGCCUUCGGGUUGUAAACCGCUUUCAGGAGGGACGAAGCCACUCGGGUUAAUAGCCCAGAGGGUGACGGUACCUCCAGAAGAAGCCCCGGCUAACUACGUGCCAGCAGCCGCGGUAAUACGUAGGGGGCAAGCGUUGUCCGGAUUUAUUGGGCGUAAAGCGCGUGUAGGCGGCCAGGUAGGUCCGUUGUGAAAACUCGAGGCUCAACCUCGAGACGCCGGCGGAAACCAUCUGGCUAGAGUCCGGAAGAGGAGAGUGGAAUUCCCGGUGUAGCGGUGAAAUGCGCAGAUAUCGGGAAGAACACCCGUGGCGAAGGCGGCUCUCUGGGACGGUACUGACGCUGAGACGCGAAAGCGUGGGGAGCGAACAGGAUUAGAUACCCUGGUAGUCCACGCCGUAAACGAUGGGUGCUAGGUGUGGUCGGUGUCGACUCCGGCCGUGCCGAAGCUAACGCAUUAAGCACCCCGCCUGGGGAGUACGGCCGCAAGGCUAAAACUCAAA